Molecule: ribosomal RNA, 308 nt
Filed under: uncultured bacterium
Lineage: Bacteria
Description: bacterial SSU rRNA
Rfam family: Bacterial small subunit ribosomal RNA
Source: RNAcentral
GACGAACGCUGGCGGCGUGCCUAACACAUGCAAGUCGAACGGGGUGAUUUCCUUCGGGAGAUCACUUAGUGGCGAACGGGUGAGUAACGCGUGAGAAACCUGCCUUUCAGUGGGGGACAACAGUUGGAAACGACUGCUAAUACCGCAUAAUGUAUAUUGGGGGCAUCCCUAAUAUACCAAAGCUUUAUGUGCUGAAAGAUGGUCUCGCGUCUGAUUAGCUAGAUGGCGGGGUAACGGCCCACCAUGGCGACGAUCAGUAGCCGGUCUGAGAGGAUGAACGGCCACAUUGGGACUGAGAUACGGCCCAG